AGCGAACGCUGGCGGCAGGCCUAACACAUGCAAGUCGAACGAACUCUUCGGAGUUAGUGGCGGACGGGUGAGUAACACGUGGGAACGUGCCUUUUGGUUCGGAAUAACUCAGGGAAACUUGUGCUAAUACCGAAUGUGCCCUUCGGGGGAAAGAUUUAUCGCCAUUAGAGCGGCCCGCGUCUGAUUAGCUAGUUGGUGAGGUAACGGCUCACCAAGGCGACGAUCAGUAGCUGGUCUGAGAGGAUGACCAGCCACACUGGGACUGAGACACGGCCCAGGCUCCUACGGGGGGCAGCAGUGGGGAAUCUUGCGCAAUGGGCGAAAGCCUGACGCAGCCAUGCCGCGUGAAUGAUGAAGGUCUUAGGAUUGUAAAAUUCUUUCACCGGGGACGAUAAUGACGGUACCCGGAGAAGAAGCCCCGGCUAACUUCGUG
RNAcentral lists this ribosomal RNA (433 nucleotides) under uncultured bacterium. Its description in RNAcentral is "partial 16S ribosomal RNA". It matches the Rfam family "Bacterial small subunit ribosomal RNA", at positions 29 to 507 of the family's 1533-position model. The record is from RNAcentral.